UUAUAUCUUUUUAAAAACGUUUGCUUCAUCAGAUCUUUGUUAUUGUUAUAGUCGUAUACUGUGUAAAAUAGUGUUUGCCUGCAAUUAUUUAUGUGUGUUUGUUGUAUUCCACCUCUUAUUCGUCCGUCAUGAGGCAACGUCAAGUUCCUUGGUUACUGAUUGGCUGGGGGGGGGAGAAGAACAAACAGAGAGUGACGCAAGGGUGUGCGGAGCAGUUACUGCUGUAAAUGCGCUAUGAGGCCGGUGGUGGUGGUGGUGCUGGUGUCCCUUCCUGUGUGCUGUGCUGUUGCCACGUGCCCGGGUGACUUAUGAUAUAUUGUUUGGACCCCUUCCCUCACUAGUUUCUCCACACCAGCGAGCCUCAGCUUGGAAUAGUCUCUUUUAUAAUUGGUGUGGAUACUGCAUUGUUUAAUUUUGAAUAAUAAAGAAGUACCGAACUGUGAACCACUUCUCAUGCCUAAUGAGUUGACCUCACUUGCGUGUCCUGAGAUGAACCAAUAAAAUUAAAUCUUUGGGUGUGU
This is a long non-coding RNA of Acanthopagrus latus (yellowfin seabream), 521 nucleotides long. RefSeq lists it as uncharacterized. The record is from RefSeq and is a predicted model, not a curated record. NCBI's taxonomy places the organism in Eukaryota, Metazoa, Chordata, Actinopteri, Spariformes, Sparidae. The transcript is spliced from 2 exons.